UCUAAGCAUUUUUGUUUACACCAUGGAAGAUACAAAAUUAUAGGCUUUGUACAUGGUCAAUGCUGUUAUAAUCUCUACUAAAUCAUACAAUUUUAAAGUUUGCACUGUAAAAAAUGUUUCAUUACUUGGAUGAAAGUAAUGCAGCUAUCAUUAUUAUUCAGACAUCUUUCUUCUGGAGUAUAGACAGAUUCAGUGUUGGUUUGAUUUGAGUUUCCCCAGAUCUCUACAAAAUAUUUCACACAUUUAAUCCAUGAAUCUGAAAAUGUGUUUGAGUGAAAGAGAGACUAGAGAUGAACUAUCUGUUCAACAGUGAGAGAGUUUCUCUGACAGGAGGAAAAUCUUUAGACUCAAAUCAGCAAAGAAACACUGAAGAGG
Molecule: long non-coding RNA, 375 nt
Organism: Poecilia latipinna (sailfin molly)
Lineage: Eukaryota; Metazoa; Chordata; Actinopteri; Cyprinodontiformes; Poeciliidae
Exons: 2
Source: RefSeq, a predicted model, not a curated record